UGUUCCUUGCAGGCAGAGAUAUUGCCACCUGGGUCAGUGGGGCUCCAGACUUAUACUUGACUAGGCCCAGGCUGCCUGAACAGACCACUGCCCCACAGUUCUCUGCUUUGUUUUGGGCGUGGGGUAUCACUACGUAGUCAAGGCUCGUACCAGAGUCAUAAUCCUGCUUCAGUGUUCUGAGUGCUUAACACCAUGACCAUUUACUACGGCCAUUCUUAACUCCAACAUUAAUCUCAGAAUUAUUCACAUGGUGUGGUUUGCGUUGUCAUCUUGACAGAAUCUAGGGUUAGCUAAGAGACAGGCCCCUAGCAUGCCCAUGGACAUUGCAUUAACUGAGCUGGAAAGACCAACCUAUUGAGAUCAGCUUUCAGAAGAAGGUGCAUUCUACUAACAAUCCCCAGAAGAGACAACAGAGUAUAACACAUCGCCUUUAUAAUGUCCUAUAAUUUGGGAAUUCUGCAAUAGUUUUUAUUUAAAUUUAUAAAUUUCUAAUUUUUAAUUU
Long non-coding RNA from Mastomys coucha (southern multimammate mouse), 502 nucleotides. RefSeq lists it as uncharacterized. The transcript has 3 exons. NCBI's taxonomy places the organism in Eukaryota, Metazoa, Chordata, Mammalia, Rodentia, Muridae. The record is from RefSeq and is a predicted model, not a curated record.